GCCUCUAUAGUUUAUAAAAAAUACUAUCUUUGUAAGUUAGAGAAGAAAUCUAAAGGCA
Molecule: transfer RNA, 58 nt
Filed under: Portunion sinensis
Lineage: Eukaryota; Metazoa; Arthropoda; Malacostraca; Isopoda; Entoniscidae
Also listed under: 1 other name
Description: tRNA-Thr
Source: RNAcentral